AAAGUCCCGCAAGGGAUUAGUAGAGUGGCAAACGGGUGAGUAACACGUGGGUGACCUGCCUUCGAGUGGGGGAUAACGUCCCGAAAGGGACGCUAAUACCGCAUGACAUCCUGCCUUUGAAGAGGCGGAGAUCAAAGCUGGGGAUCGCAAGACCAAGCGCUCAAAGAGGGGCCCGCGCCUGAUUAGCUAGUUGGCGAGGUAACGGCUCACCAAGGCAUCGAUCAGUAUCCGGCCUGAGAGGGCGGACGGACACACUGGGACUGAGACACGGCCCAGACUCCUACGGGAGGCAGCAGUGGGGAAUUGUUCGCAAUGGGCGCAAGCCUGACGACGCAACGCCGCGUGGAGGAUGAAGACCUUCGGGUCGUAAACUCCUUUCGAUCGAGACGAAUGGCCUCCGGGUUAACAGCCCGGAGGAGUGACGGUACCGAGAGAAGAAGCCCCGGCUAACUCCGUGCCAGCAGCCGCGGUAAUACGGGGGGGGCAAGCGUUGUUCGGAAUUACUGGGCGUAAAGGGCUCGUAGGCGGCCAACUAAGUCAGACGUGAAAUCCCUCGGCUUAACCGGGGAACUGCAUCUGAUACUGGAUGGCUUGAGUUCGAGAGAGGGAUGUGGAAUUCCAGGUGUAGCGGUGAAAUGCGUAGAUAUCUGGAGGAACACCGGUGGCGAAGGCGGCAUCCUGGACCGACACUGACGCUGAGGAGCGAAAGCCAGGGGAGCAAACGGGAUUAGAUACCCCGGUAGUCCUGGCCCUAAACGAUGAAUGCUUGGUGUGGCGGGUAUCGAUCCCUGCCGUGCCGAAGCUAACGCA
This 810-nucleotide ribosomal RNA is filed under the name uncultured Acidobacteriota bacterium. RNAcentral's name for it is "bacterial SSU rRNA". It matches the Rfam family "Bacterial small subunit ribosomal RNA", at positions 71 to 859 of the family's 1533-position model. Lineage: Bacteria; Pseudomonadati; Acidobacteriota. The record is from RNAcentral.